AUCAAGGACAUCAACCACCCGAGCCACUGCCUGUUCACCCCACUACCAUCCAGAAGCUCGGGUGGCCAGUGCACCAACCCUUUGGUGGUGCGGACGGCCCAAUACAUCACUCCCUGCCCUCCAGGAUAUCUACACCAGGCGGCAUCUGAGGAAGGCCCGAAAGAUCGUCAAGGACUCCAGUCACCCGAGCCACGGACUGUUCACUCUGUUGCCAUCUGUCAAGCGAGAUAUCGGAGUAUCGGCUCUUGGAUCAACAGGCUCCGAGACAGCUUCUACCACCAGGCCAUCAGACUGCUGAAAAGCUAAACCUAGCAGUCUCCCUGCACAGAUCUGCACCUUACAGACUAUUUGCACUGGAGAGAAUAUUAUGCAGAUUAUAAAUUAUUUGCAUUGACUUCACACACACAAGCAUAAAAGACAUGUUUUCCCAUCUCAAAAGGUUUUUAAAAAACAUAUUAGGUUCCAAAUAAAGUAACUGGGUUGAA
Oncorhynchus tshawytscha (Chinook salmon) is the source of this 485-nucleotide long non-coding RNA. RefSeq lists it as uncharacterized. The transcript has 2 exons. NCBI's taxonomy places the organism in Eukaryota, Metazoa, Chordata, Actinopteri, Salmoniformes, Salmonidae. The record is from RefSeq and is a predicted model, not a curated record.